CGAACAGAACAGUCGUCUCUCCAUCCCUUGCGUUGGCUCCACGUCACUCCACCUCCUUGGCUUCUCAUCUCCAAGAACACAGCAGGAACGCAGCGGCCAGAUUAUGGGCAGCCUGUUCCCCUUCCCCUUCCACUCCUUUUCCCAACAAAUUAGGCCUCCGCUGCUUCAUCUUUUUGGUUCGCCUAUCAAAUCUGGCACCGGUGCGAGUCGCCGCCUCCUGCGCCCACCAGUCCAUACCAAAUCGAUCACCACCCAUCGACGAGCCGAGUGGCACAAGCAGACGAGGAGACGGACUUGAUGUUGUUGCUGGCAUGAUCCUCCUGCCGUUCAACGCCGCGUGCCUCAUCGGCAAGCACGCAGUGCCGGUUGCAGAGCUGCAGCCGUUGAGCGAAGAGAAAGGAGUCCCGCUAAUGCUAGAUGUCGUCCGCCUCUCGGGAACGCCGUGGGGGAAGGGUGCUGUCCGCCGCCGCGGACCAUGCCGAGGAGCACCGUUGGAGAUUGGGACAACUUCAAUGUCCUUCUCGUAGUUGCAUUCAGACUAUUGGAUCUGCGAGGCAUCAGCAACAGCGUUGAAUAUGAAGAGGUAUGUAUCUUUUAUUUACUGAAUUAUUCUGCACAUAAUCCUGACAACUGAUCAGACCACUUCAAGAUGUUUUGGGCAUACCACCAUACACUGCGAUUUGUCCAUUUAGAUGCUUAUCCUCCAGCUCUGUCAGUACUCUUUGGUUCAUUGAAGAAGUAACACGAAACCCAUUAUAUCCGCCAAGUGUAGCGCGCACACUACCUUUACAAUUUGACAGUUUGGGUAUGUUAAUCAUGAAUGAAUCAGGCCUACAUCUUUUUGAUGAUGAUGUCGAACAGAUUGUGGACAAGCAGGGAGGCACACUUGAACGAAAAUGGGAGGAUAGAUCCUGAUGAAUGGAAAGUGUUCAGAAGUAAAAAAAAUCUCGCUGAAGCACCUGCGCUAGUUAUGACUCUCUCAUACCCAGAAUAAGGUCAUAACUAUGUCAUUCACUCUCAACCUGCGCUACAAAAUUAUUGGUAUAUGCGAUUUACGAUUUGGUCAGAGCCCAUCUGUUGCAAGUGUCGGAUGAUUUUCUGCUGAUGGCAAGGUUCUAGGACGAUUCGGUGGUUCUUACUGCAUAGUACUGUUGCUGCUCCCAUUAAUAUACAAGUAUUUGACGAGAAAAUUUCCUGCGGGGGGGCUCAAACGGGGCUGCUGGCACCCUAUACAUGCAUACAACAGUCACGCCCUGCCCUCCCUAUUUGAUCAUUUGGUUGGGUAAAUUUUGUUUCAUCCUUUGUUUAGCUUUUAAGUUCAAGCGACCUAAUUUACCAUUUUUAUAGUAUCAACAUGGAUGAGUUGAUUGGCUUA
Non-coding RNA from Aegilops tauschii subsp. strangulata, 1375 nucleotides. NCBI's taxonomy places the organism in Eukaryota, Viridiplantae, Streptophyta, Magnoliopsida, Poales, Poaceae. The record is from RefSeq and is a predicted model, not a curated record.